GAUGACGACGCCGGCUCGGUAGGACAUCAGCUUCCCAAGCUGAGUACCCGGGUUCAAAUCUCGGCAACCGCA
Molecule: transfer RNA, 72 nt
Filed under: Candidatus Bathyarchaeota archaeon
Lineage: Archaea; Thermoproteati; Candidatus Bathyarchaeota
Description: tRNA-Gly
Source: RNAcentral